RNAcentral lists this ribosomal RNA (459 nucleotides) under uncultured bacterium. RNAcentral describes it as "partial 16S ribosomal RNA". It matches the Rfam family "Bacterial small subunit ribosomal RNA", at positions 338 to 795 of the family's 1533-position model. The record is from RNAcentral.
CCUACGGGUGGCAGCAGUGAGGAAUAUUGGUCAAUGGACGAGAGUCUGAACCAGCCAAGUAGCGUGAAGGAUGACUGCCCUAUGGGUUGUAAACUUCUUUUAUAUGGGAAUAAAGUGUUCCACGUGUGGGUUUUUGUAUGUACCUUAUGAAUAAGGAUCGGCUAACUCCGUGCCAGCAGCCGCGGUAAUACGGAGGAUCCGAGCGUUAUCCGGUUUUAUUGGGUUUAAAGGGGGCGUAGGGGGGUUGUUAAGUCAGUUGUGAAAGUUUGGGGCUAAACCGCAAAUUGCAGUUGAAACUGGCAGUCUUGAGUACAGUAGAGGUAGGCGGAAUUCGUGGUGUAGCGGUGAAAUGCUUAGAUAUCACGAAGAACUCCGAUUGCGAAGGCAGCUCACUGGACUGCAACUGACACUGAGGCUCGAAAGUGUGGGUAUCAAACAGGAUUAGAUACCCCAGUAGUC